This 491-nucleotide long non-coding RNA is filed under the name Nicotiana benthamiana. RNAcentral's name for it is "long non-coding RNA (NBEN_LNC022618)". The record is from RNAcentral. Lineage: Eukaryota; Viridiplantae; Streptophyta; Magnoliopsida; Solanales; Solanaceae.
GUUGCGAGGCCUUACAUGCACGUUCUUUGGUGGAAAGAAGACUGGAAUUGUCGGUAGGACAGGCAGUGGUAAAUCUACUCUAAUACAGACCCUCUUCCGCAUAGUUGAACCAGCUGCUGGACAAAUUAAAAUAGAUGCUACCAGCAUCUCCUCAAUUGGUCUGCAUGAUCUACGGUCUAGAUUGAGUAUAAUUCCACAGGAUCCAACUAUGUUUGAGGGGACAGUUCGCAGCAACCUAGACCCGCUUGAAGAAUAUUCAGAUGAACAAAUUUGGGAGGUGACAGCUUGGUUUUAACAGUUCGCAGCAACCUAGAUCCGCUUGAAGAAUAUUCAGAUGAACAAAUUUGGGAGGUGACAGCUUGGUUUUGCCUAUUUUUGGAUUUAUUUUGUUUCAGAUAGGAAAAUGACAACUUUUAUUUUAUUGAGACUUUGUUUGAUGUUAUGCUUCAGGUGCUCGAUAAGUGUCAACUAGGAGAAGAAGUGAGGAAGAA